AUUGAACGCUGGCGGCAGGCCUAACACAUGCAAGUCGAGCGGAUGAAGGGAGCUUGCUCCUGGAUUCAGCGGCGGACGGGUGAGUAAUGCCUAGGAAUCUGCCUGGUAGUGGGGGAUAACGUCCGGAAACGGGCGCUAAUACCGCAUACGUCCUGAGGGAGAAAGUGGGGGAUCUUCGGACCUCACGCUAUCAGAUGAGCCUAGGUCGGAUUAGCUAGUUGGUGGGGUAAAGGCCUACCAAGGCGACGAUCCGUAACUGGUCUGAGAGGAUGAUCAGUCACACGGGAACUGAGACACGGUCCAGACUCCUACGGGAGGCAGCAGUGGGGAAUAUUGGACGAUGGGGGAAAGCCUGAUCCAGCCAUGCCGCGUGUGUGAAGAAGGUCUUCGGAUUGUAAAGCACUUUAAGUUGGGAGGAAGGGCAGUAAGUUAAUACCUUGCUGUUUUGACGUUACCAACAGAAUAAGCACCGGCUAACUUCGUG
RNAcentral lists this ribosomal RNA (484 nucleotides) under uncultured bacterium. RNAcentral's name for it is "partial 16S ribosomal RNA". It matches the Rfam family "Bacterial small subunit ribosomal RNA", at positions 30 to 507 of the family's 1533-position model. The record is from RNAcentral.